UACGAAAGGUGCUAGCGUUGUUCGGAAUUACUGGGCGUAAAGCGCACGUAGGCGGCCUUGUAAGAUGGGGGUGAAAUCCCUGGGCUCAACCCAGGAACUGCCUUCAUGACUGCAAAGCUUGAGGAUGUGAGAGGUUGGCGGAAUUCCGAGUGUAGAGGUGAAAUUCGUAGAUAUUCGGAAGAACACCGGUGGCGAAGGCGGCCAACUGGCACAUUUCUGACGCUGAGGUGCGAAAGCGUGGGGAUCAAACAGG
Molecule: ribosomal RNA, 253 nt
Filed under: uncultured bacterium
Lineage: Bacteria
Description: partial 16S ribosomal RNA
Rfam family: Bacterial small subunit ribosomal RNA
Source: RNAcentral